Molecule: long non-coding RNA, 817 nt
Organism: Athalia rosae (coleseed sawfly)
Lineage: Eukaryota; Metazoa; Arthropoda; Insecta; Hymenoptera; Athaliidae
Exons: 4
Source: RefSeq, a predicted model, not a curated record
GCAAAGACUAUAGUCUCUGUUGUUUUUCACCCCGAAAUACCAAAGAAUCGCCUCAAACAUUAGCAAAGACUCUGAAAAAUGAAGCUCUCACACCGCCGUUCAGUUUCUCAUGAACAAAGUCUACGGAAAAUUCCGAGUAAUCUCAAAACAGUUAAUUGCGAAUGUGCAAUUUGGUAUUUGAUCAUUCCAGCGUCUCGUGCGUAGAUCCUCCUUCCCCGAAGCAUCGGCAGUAUGGCCGCAACAGCCGAAGCAACUUCGUCAUCGGGAGCGACAUCGACGUUAGUGCGUACAUCCUUUAGGAAGAGAUAGAAGAAGCUAGCGACGAGAGAGAGACAUAUUUUUGGGUGAGGAUUAACAGCGGAUUAGUACGCGGUUACUACAGCGCCAUAUUUUUGGUUGACAAUGAGUCCAGGGGUCAGUUUCGAUUGAGCAGUGACUCGGGAAGGAGUGUUCCGUUUGAUCUACAUAUUUUUAAAAAGUGCUCGACAAUCGGUAGUUAGUGAAAGACUUUUAUCAUUGGAAAUUUUGUGAAUUGCAUGGUUCGGAGAUUUUUCCACAAGCACUGAUUCAUACAAGACAGACGUUGAAGUUGCCUAGUUCUUCGCGAUACAGUUCAACUUUCAACUGCUAUCCCUACGUUGUGCUGAAGAAUUCGUAUAAGGCUUUCAAUCAAUCAUCACGGUGCCUAGUGCAUCGCAGUACUCAUUAAACUCUCAACCACGAAGGGCAGGAGUUACAUGGCAUCGCACAAUUCGUUUGCAGGUACUCGGAUAUGCUGUCGCCGCAGUUAUGACCCCCUGGACUUCCCCUGUUCAUC